GUGGUAAUGCCGGAUGCUCCAGUUGAUCGCAUGGUCUUCUGGGAAAGCUUUCGCGGUAUGGGAUGGGGUCGCGUCCUAUCAGCUUGACGGCGGGGUAACGGCCCACCGUGGCUUCGACGGGUAGCCGGCCUGAGAGGGCGACCGGCCACAUUGGGACUGAGAUACGGCCCAGACUCCUACGGGAGGCAGCAGUGGGGAAUAUUGCACAAUGGGCGCAAGCCUGAUGCAGCGACGCCGCGUGAGGGAUGGAGGCCUUCGGGUUGUAAACCUCUUUUAUCGGGGAGCAAGCGAGAGUGAGUUUACCCGUUGAAUAAGCACCGGCUAACUACGUGCCAGCAGCCGCGGUAAUACGUAGGGUGCAAGCGUUAUCCGGAAUUAUUGGGCGUAAAGGGCUCGUAGGCGGUUCGUCGCGUCCGGUGUGAAAGUCCAUCGCUUAACGGUGGAUCCGCGCCGGGUACGGGCGGGCUUGAGUGCGGUAGGGGAGACUGGAAUUCCCGGUGUAACGGUGGAAUGUGUAGAUAUCGGAAAAAAAAACA
This 536-nucleotide ribosomal RNA is filed under the name Bifidobacterium longum subsp. infantis. RNAcentral's name for it is "bacterial SSU rRNA". It matches the Rfam family "Bacterial small subunit ribosomal RNA", at positions 160 to 711 of the family's 1533-position model. The record is from RNAcentral. Lineage: Bacteria; Bacillati; Actinomycetota; Actinomycetes; Bifidobacteriales; Bifidobacteriaceae.